RNAcentral lists this ribosomal RNA (705 nucleotides) under Marinovum sp. RNAcentral describes it as "bacterial SSU rRNA". It matches the Rfam family "Bacterial small subunit ribosomal RNA", at positions 38 to 791 of the family's 1533-position model. The record is from RNAcentral. Lineage: Bacteria; Pseudomonadati; Pseudomonadota; Alphaproteobacteria; Rhodobacterales; Roseobacteraceae.
AUCAGCGCGCCUACCAUGCAAGUCGAGCGAGCUCUUCGGAGCUAGCGGCGGACGGGUUAGUAACGCGUGGGAACGUGCCCUUCACUGCGGAAUAGCCACUGGAAACGGUGAGUAAUACCGCAUACGCCCUUCGGGGGAAAGAUUUAUCGGUGAAGGAUCGGCCCGCGUUAGAUUAGAUAGUUGGUGGGGUAACGGCCUACCAAGUCUACGAUCUAUAGCUGGUUUUAGAGGAUGAUCAGCAACACUGGGACUGAGACACGGCCCAGACUCCUACGGGAGGCAGCAGUGGGGAAUCUUGGACAAUGGGCGCAAGCCUGAUCCAGCCAUGCCGCGUGAGUGAUGAAGGCCUUAGGGUCGUAAAGCUCUUUCGCCAGAGAUGAUAAUGACAGUAUCUGGUAAAGAAACCCCGGCUAACUCCGUGCCAGCAGCCGCGGUAAUACGGAGGGGGUUAGCGUUGUUCGGAAUUACUGGGCGUAAAGCGCACGUAGGCGGAUCAGAAAGUUGGGGGUGAAAUCCCGGGGCUCAACCCCGGAACUGCCUCCAAAACUCCUGGUCUUGAGUUCGAGAGAGGUGAGUGGAAUUCCGAGUGUAGAGGUGAAAUUCGUAGAUAUUCGGAGGAACACCAGUGGCGAAGGCGGCUCACUGGCUCGAUACUGACGCUGAGGUGCGAAAGUGUGGGGAGCAAACAGGAUUAGAUACCCUGGU